GAUGAACGCUGGCGGCGUGCCUAAUACAUGCAAGUCGAGCGAACAGAUGAGGAGCUUGCUCCUCUGACGUUAGCGGCGGACGGGUGAGUAACACGUGGAUAACCUACCUAUAAGACUGGGAUAACUUCGGGAAACCGGAGCUAAUACCGGAUAAUAUAUUGAACCGCAUGGUUCAAUAGUGAAAGACGGUUUUGCUGUCACUUAUAGAUGGAUCCGCGCCGCAUUAGCUAGUUGGUAAGGUAACGGCUUACCAAGGCAACGAUGCGUAGCCGACCUGAGAGGGUGAUCGGCCACACUGGAACUGAGACACGGUCCAGCCUCCUUCGGGAGGCAGCAGUAGGGAAUCUUCCGCAAUGGGCGAGAGCCUGACGGAGCAACGCCGCGUGAGUGAUGAAGGUCUUCGGAUCGUAAAACUCUGUUAUUAGGGAAGAACAAAUGUGUAAGUAACUAUGCACGUCUUGACGGUACCUAAUCAGAAAGCCACGGCUAACUACGUG
RNAcentral lists this ribosomal RNA (497 nucleotides) under uncultured bacterium. RNAcentral describes it as "partial 16S ribosomal RNA". It matches the Rfam family "Bacterial small subunit ribosomal RNA", at positions 28 to 507 of the family's 1533-position model. The record is from RNAcentral.